RNAcentral lists this ribosomal RNA (612 nucleotides) under Pantoea sp. RNAcentral's name for it is "bacterial SSU rRNA". It matches the Rfam family "Bacterial small subunit ribosomal RNA", at positions 117 to 725 of the family's 1533-position model. The record is from RNAcentral. Lineage: Bacteria; Pseudomonadati; Pseudomonadota; Gammaproteobacteria; Enterobacterales; Erwiniaceae.
CUGGGGAUCUGCCCGAUAGAGGGGGAUAACCACUGGAAACGGUGGCUAAUACCGCAUAACGUCGCAAGACCAAAGAGGGGGACCUUCGGGCCUCUCACUAUCGGAUGAACCCAGAUGGGAUUAGCUAGUAGGCGGGGUAACGGCCCACCUAGGCGACGAUCCCUAGCUGGUCUGAGAGGAUGACCAGCCACACUGGAACUGAGACACGGUCCAGACUCCUACGGGAGGCAGCAGUGGGGAAUAUUGCACAAUGGGCGCAAGCCUGAUGCAGCCAUGCCGCGUGUAUGAAGAAGGCCUUCGGGUUGUAAAGUACUUUCAGCGGGGAGGAAGGCAGUGAGGUUAAUAACCUUACUGAUUGACGUUACCCGCAGAAGAAGCACCGGCUAACUCCGUGCCAGCAGCCGCGGUAAUACGGAGGGUGCAAGCGUUAAUCGGAAUUACUGGGCGUAAAGCGCACGCAGGCGGUCUGUUAAGUCAGAUGUGAAAUCCCCGGGCUUAACCUGGGAACUGCAUUUGAAACUGGCAGGCUUGAGUCUCGUAGAGGGGGGUAGAAUUCCAGGUGUAGCGGUGAAAUGCGUAGAGAUCUGGAGGAAUACCGGUGGCGAAGGCGGC